ACGUAGGGAGCAAGCGUUAUCCGGAUUUACUGGGUGUAAAGGGCGUGUAGGCGGGCUUGUAAGUUGGAAGUGAAAUCCAGGGGCUUAACCCCUGAACUGCUUUCAAAACUGCGAGUCUUGAGUGAUGGAGAGGCAGGCGGAAUUCCCAGUGUAGCGGUGAAAUGCGUAGAUAUUGGGAGGAACACCAGUGGCGAAGGCGGCCUGCUGGACAUUAACUGACGCUGAGGCGCGAAAGCGUGGGGAGCAAACAG
RNAcentral lists this ribosomal RNA (251 nucleotides) under uncultured bacterium. RNAcentral describes it as "partial 16S ribosomal RNA". It matches the Rfam family "Bacterial small subunit ribosomal RNA", at positions 525 to 775 of the family's 1533-position model. The record is from RNAcentral.